Molecule: unclassified non-coding RNA, 473 nt
Filed under: Hevea brasiliensis (rubber tree)
Lineage: Eukaryota; Viridiplantae; Streptophyta; Magnoliopsida; Malpighiales; Euphorbiaceae
Source: RNAcentral
CAAAUUUGUAAUGAUUAAAAUGGUCUACGUCUUGUACCAAAGAUGUUCUUAUUUAUUUCAGUCCAUCCAUUACAAGAUUUGAAAAAUCAAGGACUCAAGACAAGUACACUCGAUUGACAAAUGCUGUAGCAAUUCACUUCCAACGGCUGAGAGCAAUAGCUACAUAUGCCACGUAAUCGUCUUUCCUCCAUUUUCUUGUUUACAUCUAUGACACCAACUACAAUGCGAUGGUAAGUAGCCCCCGAUUCUAGGACAUGUUAAUGGAACAUCUCGUCUAAUUUCUGCCUGUAUUGAGCUAAUCUCCUAGUAUAUGCAUAGACCCCAGCCUCAGUUGGUCCUGCAGGACUUCCCCUUCUAGUGAACCUCCCCUCUUUGAAUAUGUAAAGCAUAGGUAUUCCGGUUGAGAGUUCUAAACUUAUAACCUCCUGAGAAGUUAAUUUGUCAAGAUACAUAAUUAUGGACCUCAACGAAUU